CGCCUCCUCCCCUCCCAGGCCGCCAGGGAUUUGCCGGGAAGAGCGGGGGCAGGGGGAGACUCCCGGGGGUGCGCAGGACCGCGGGGGGCCGAGUCCUCGGGCUCGAGAAGAUUGUGUCCACCCGCUGUCCGAGGCCCAGGCUGUCCCCUCAGGUCGUCCUCCUCAAGUCCAAGGAGGGACAUGGGAGCUCCUGAGGGCAGGGUGGGGUUCCUCGCGGGCCAGCUGUCGUCCUAGGGUCCCCGGUGCCACCUCAGUUGCGGGCUGCUUGUGAGGAAGGAGGGUAUGGGAGCAAAAAAUAGGAGGGGUCUUCCCGAGGCUCGGGGUUGAUCAGUGUCGGUUCUAGAGCCUGCGGGGAAAAGAGGGCAGGAGAACAGGAUAGUUUGUGCUUCCUUUUUUCCAUUUUAACUUUUCCUCUAACGGGCAUCCGGGCAAGAACAGGGUUCAGUAGUUUGGGAAGGGAGCUGGGGGAGGCAGUGGCGGCUGGAGUAGGUAGGCGAGUAAAAGGAGGAGGAAGGGCUGGGGAGAAGAGCGAGGCUGUAGCGGCUGCCUGUUGAG
This 555-nucleotide long non-coding RNA is filed under the name Homo sapiens (human). Its description in RNAcentral is "HSALNT0283764". The record is from RNAcentral. Lineage: Eukaryota; Metazoa; Chordata; Mammalia; Primates; Hominidae.